UACGGAGGGUGCGAGCGUUAAUCGGAAUUACUGGGCGUAAAGGGCACGCAGGCGGCCUGUUAAGUCAGAUGUGAAAUCCCCGGGCUUAACCCGGGAACUGCAUUUGAAACUGUCAGGCUUGAGUCUUGUAGAGGGGGGUAGAAUUCCAGGUGUAGCGGUGAAAUGCGUAGAGAUCUGGAGGAAUACCGGUGGCGAAGGCGGCCCCCUGGACAAAGACUGACGCUGAGGUGCGAAAGCGUGGGGAGCAAACAGG
Molecule: ribosomal RNA, 253 nt
Filed under: uncultured bacterium
Lineage: Bacteria
Description: partial 16S ribosomal RNA
Rfam family: Bacterial small subunit ribosomal RNA
Source: RNAcentral